Polyodon spathula (Mississippi paddlefish) is the source of this 586-nucleotide long non-coding RNA. RefSeq lists it as uncharacterized. Lineage: Eukaryota; Metazoa; Chordata; Actinopteri; Acipenseriformes; Polyodontidae. The record is from RefSeq and is a predicted model, not a curated record. The transcript has 3 exons.
CUACAGGUUCUUUUGGGAUUCUGUGACACCAACCCCGACCACCAGAUUAAAGUCCUAGGACCACAACACAGCUGGUGCGCAGUAUGAAUGACUGGAGAUGCUACCAAUCAAACAUGCGCAGUAUGGAUGGAUGUGCGUUCAGCAAGAGAUUGUACAUUGCUUCCCUAUCAUCAAGAGGACAAAUUACAGCAACCUUGGGCAAGUCCAUCCUCUUUUGUACACCUCAGUUAAAAUCCAGCUAUAUGAAAGUGGGUAACAGCAGAACCCCACUGGAAACAAGAUACUACAGUAUAUUUAUUCAUUUUCCACAUUUUAGAAGAACUGAAAAGACUAUAUUUAACAACUAGAAAAAUAAUACUGCCAAACAAGAUGGGCCUUCAGUGCAUGUGAGUCUCUUUAGUGUAUUUAUCAAAAUAUAUAAAAUGCUUGGAGUGUCUUCCAGUAUUGAAUGAUUUAAAGAGCCAGUAUAAAAUCCAGCGCUCCAGAUAAGGUGUUUUGUCUGGGAGUAACUUACCCUCUAAUUUUAAUAAUGAGAGAGUAAAAUGGAUUUUCAGGGGGUAAAAUGAAACAUUACCUUGAAGUCACA